GACGAACGCUGGCGGCGUGCUUAACACAUGCAAGUCUAACGGAAAGGCCCUGCUUUUGUGGGGUGCUCGAGUGGCGAACGGGUGAGUAACACGUGAGUAACCUGCCCUUGACUUUGGGAUAACUUCAGGAAACUGGGGCUAAUACCGGAUAGGAGCUCCUGCUGCAUGGUGGGGGUUGGAAAGUUUCGGCGGUUGGGGAUGGACUCGCGGCUUAUCAGCUUGUUGGUGGGGUAGUGGCUUACCAAGGCUUUGACGGGUAGCCGGCCUGAGAGGGUGACCGGCCACAUUGGGACUGAGAUACGGCCCAGACUCCUACGGGAGGCAGCAGUGGGGAAUAUUGCACAAUGGGCGGAAGCCUGAUGCAGCAACGCCGCGUGCGGGAUGACGGCCUUCGGGUUGUAAACCGCUUUCGCCUGUGACGAAGCGUGAGUGACGGUAAUGGGUAAAGAAGCACCGGCUAACUACGUGCCAGCAGCCGCGGUGAUACGUAGGGUGCGAGCGUUGUCCGGAUUUAUUGGGCGUAAAGGGCUCGUAGGUGGUUGAUCGCGUCGGAAGUGUAAUCUUGGGGCUUAACCCUGAGCGUGCUUUCGAUACGGGUUGACUUGAGGAAGGUAGGGGAGAAUGGAAUUCCUGGUGGAGCGGUGGAAUGCGCAGAUAUCAGGAGGAACACCAGUGGCGAAGGCGGUUCUCUGGGCCUUUCCUGACGCUGAGGAGCGAAAGCGUGGGGAGCGAACAGGCUUAGAUACCCUGGUAGUCCACGCUGUAAACGGUGGGUACUAGGUGUGGGGUCCAUUCCACGGGUUCCGUGCCGUAGCUAACGCUUUAAGUACCCCGCCUGGGGAGUACGGCCGCAAGGCUAAAACUCAAAGGAAUUGACGGGGCCCCGCACAAGCGGCGGAGCAUGCGGAUUAAUUCGAUGCAACGCGUAGAACCUUACCUGGGUUUGACAUGGAUCGGGAGUGCUCAGAGAUGGGUGUGCCUCUUUUGGGGUCGGUUCACAGGUGGUGCAUGGCUGUCGUCAGCUCGUGUCGUGAGAUGUUGGGUUAAGUCCCGCAACGAGCGCAACCCUUGUUCACUGUUGCCAGCACGUUAUGGUGGGGACUCAGUGGAGACCGCCGGGGUCAACUCGGAGGAAGGUGGGGAUGACGUCAAGUCAUCAUGCCCCUUAUGUCCAGGGCUUCACGCAUGCUACAAUGGCUGGUACAGAGAGUGGCGAGCCUGUGAGGGUGAGCGAAUCUCGGAAAGUCGGUCUCAGUUCGGAUUGGGGUCUGCAACUCGACCUCAUGAAGUCGGAGUCGCUAGUAAUCGCAGACCAGCAACGCUGCGGUGAAUACGUUCCCGGGGCU
Molecule: ribosomal RNA, 1346 nt
Filed under: uncultured bacterium
Lineage: Bacteria
Description: partial 16S ribosomal RNA
Rfam family: Bacterial small subunit ribosomal RNA
Source: RNAcentral